AGGACGAACGCUGGCGGCGUGCUUAACACAUGCAAGUCGAGCGAACCUUCGGGUUAGCGGCGAACGGGUGAGUAACACGUGGGCAACCUGCCCCGAGCUCUGGGAUAACUCCGGGAAACCGGGGCUAAUACCGGAUAUGACCCGAGAAGACAUCUUCUCGGGUGGAAAGUUUUUCGGCUCGGGAUGGGCCCGCGGCCUAUCAGCUUGUUGGUGGGGUAACGGCCUACCAAGGCGACGACGGGUAGCC
This 247-nucleotide ribosomal RNA is filed under the name uncultured bacterium. RNAcentral describes it as "partial small subunit ribosomal RNA". It matches the Rfam family "Bacterial small subunit ribosomal RNA", at positions 26 to 288 of the family's 1533-position model. The record is from RNAcentral.